UCGAUCUGUUGUGGGCAGAUGAAAUGAAUAUGGCUGUCAAAGCCGCCAGCGGUCAGGAUCCUGCCUUCGCCCGCGAUGAUCUCGGUUCCGGGGCCAAUGAUGAUAUCCACGCCGGGUUGCGUGUCCGGGUUUCCAGCCUUGCCCAGCUUGGCAAUGCGCCCGUCUUUCAGCCCCACAUCCGCCUUGAAGAUGCCUGAGUGAUCAACGAUCAGUGCAUUGGUAAUCACCGUAUCCACAGCCCCGUCAGAGCGGGUGAUUUGCGAUUGCCCCAUGCCAUCGCG
The sequence is a small RNA, 281 nucleotides long. It matches the Rfam family "5' ureB small RNA".